GGCUAUUAACGGCGACGCUUUCGAGCUUAGCUUUUAUAUCCUAUACACCUGUGAACUAUUUGCCUUUGGGCACAAACUUAAACAUAAUGUAAUGAAUGUAAACUAUUAUAACAAAUACAACUUUCAACAACGGAUCUCUUGGCUCUCACAUCGAUGAAGAACGCAGCGAAAUGCGAUAAGUAAUGUGAAUUGCAGAAUUCAGUGAAUCAUCGAAUCUUUGAACGCAAAUUGCGCCUUUUGGUAUUCCGAAAGGCAUGCCUGUUUGAGUGUCUUAUAAACCUCUAUCUAUUGUUUAUUCAAUAGAUAGCUUUGGGUGCUGCCAGCGAUGGCUCGCCUUAAAUGUCUAAGUGGAAUGCAUAAUAAGUUCUUGCAACCCUCCACUCUAACACACUUUAUAUUCUGACCUCAAAUCAGGUAGGACUACCCGCUGAACUUAAGCAUAUCAAAAGUGGGG
This 454-nucleotide ribosomal RNA is filed under the name fungal sp. TZ-2015b. RNAcentral describes it as "eukaryotic LSU rRNA". The stretch from base 119 to 272 matches the Rfam family "5.8S ribosomal RNA". Lineage: Eukaryota; Fungi. The record is from RNAcentral.